RNAcentral lists this ribosomal RNA (253 nucleotides) under uncultured bacterium. RNAcentral's name for it is "partial 16S ribosomal RNA". It matches the Rfam family "Bacterial small subunit ribosomal RNA", at positions 524 to 776 of the family's 1533-position model. The record is from RNAcentral.
UACGAAGGGGGCUAGCGUUGUUCGGAAUUACUGGGCGUAAAGCGCACGUAGGUGGGUUGUUAAGUCAGGGGUGAAAUCCUGGAGCUCAACUCCAGAACUGCCUUUGAUGCUGGCAACCUAGAGACUGGAAGAGGUUAGUGGAAUUCCCAGUGUAGAGGUGAAAUUCGUAGAUAUUGGGAAGAACACCAGUGGCGAAGGCGGCUAACUGGUCCAGUACUGACGCUGAGGUGCGAAAGCGUGGGGAGCAAACAGG